This 332-nucleotide ribosomal RNA is filed under the name uncultured eukaryote. RNAcentral describes it as "partial 18S ribosomal RNA". It matches the Rfam family "Eukaryotic small subunit ribosomal RNA", at positions 1470 to 1796 of the family's 1831-position model. The record is from RNAcentral.
CCCUUAGAUGUUCUGGGCUGCACGCGCGCUACACUGUCGGAUUCAGCGAGUCAUAUCCUUAACCGAAAGGUUUGGGUAAUCUUUUGAAAGUCCGACGUGAUGGGGAUUGAUCAUUGCAAUUAUUGAUCAUGAACGAGGAAUUCCUAGUAAGCGCGAGUCAUCAGCUCGCGUUGAUUACGUCCCUGCCCUUUGUACACACCGCCCGUCGCUACUACCGAUUGAAUGGUUUAGUGAGAUCUUCGGAUUGGCGCCUACGCGGCUUCUCUGAGGCCACGCUGGAUGCCGAAAAGUUGCUCAAACUGUAUCAUUUAGAGGAAGUAAAAGUCGUAACA